RNAcentral lists this long non-coding RNA (1184 nucleotides) under Homo sapiens (human). Its description in RNAcentral is "HSALNT0356029". The record is from RNAcentral. Lineage: Eukaryota; Metazoa; Chordata; Mammalia; Primates; Hominidae.
AGACAGGAGUCCAGGGCCUGCGAAUCGAGCUGACGCCAGCACCUCUGUGCCUGCUUGCACCUGGACCCAGCAGAGCCACGGGGGCCCCGAAUCACACCUGCAGUCAGGGCGUGGUGGGUGAGCUUUGGAGCAAUCCACGCUGGACUCCUUCCUCCUGAAUUUCCCUUUCUCUCCUCCCUCCCCGUCUCCCACCUGCCGCCUGUCUCCCACUCAAUAAACUCCAGUGCCCUUUCUUCCCUUGAGUGGAGGGCUUUUUGCAGGAUGAAAGGCAGAUGAAAGAAACGUCCUUGCCUUUGGUUUCUAAAGCCUCAUAUAGAACAGGAGGGUUUUUGGAGGAGGAAGGUUUUCCCUUCAGGUAGAAGCAGCGAGUUUUCUUAUCUUCAGAAUGGACAUGAAUAGGGAGGGGUUUCCUCCAACCCAUUCACUCAUCCACCCUUUCACAGAUAUUUGAGUGCCUACUAGGUGCAGUGUCACUCUGGAAGCUGGGAACACAGUGGGACCGGCAAGCCACCCCCAGUCCUCGUGAGGUUAACUAGCAAGACAGCUAGUUUGCAGGGGCUGGAGAGACUUCUUCAUGAAGGAAUACAGGGACAGUCACAGGAGACAGGAGCACCAAGGGAUUCGGACAUGUGGCUGACACAGUCUUCUGGAGAGCCCCGGAUGGCAUCAGGGGGAAACCUGGCCUGAGACAGUGCCCUGAUGGACAAGGACAGGAAUACGGUCAUACCUCCUGCCCACUUGACCAACGACCAGGAUGAGAAGCCAACAGAUGAUGAAUAUGAAUUAAAGUUGGACAACUAGCAAGUUUAAAACUUGGACUGGGACCUAGAUCUUCCGAUUCCUACAGCUAGCCUCCCUUUCCAUCUUCUCUGUGGUCAUCACUAAUGCAGUUUUUGACCGUCUUGUCCAGAAGCUGCAAAACAGACAACAGAAGCCAGGACUGGCCCUGCCUUAGAUGGCUUUCAGUGCAGGAAAGUAUCAAGACAGUCUUGUUCGUAGCGUAUAUCUCUCUCCACCUUUUCUGCUAAGCACCUCAUGUAUGCAGCUGCCAAUGUAACACCUCCAUUUGCGUGUUUAAUCACCAUCUCAAGCUAAUGUAACCAAGCAGACUUCUUGGCCUUCAUCCCUGCCUCCUCUAGUCUUCUCAUCUCUCUCUCUCUCUCUCUCUUUUUGAGACAGAAUUU